This 449-nucleotide ribosomal RNA is filed under the name uncultured bacterium. RNAcentral's name for it is "partial 16S ribosomal RNA". It matches the Rfam family "Bacterial small subunit ribosomal RNA", at positions 354 to 796 of the family's 1533-position model. The record is from RNAcentral.
GUCGAGAAUCUUUCACAAUGGGGGCAACCCUGAUGGAGCGACGCCGCGUGGAGGAUAAGGUCUUCGGAUUGUAAACUCCUGUCAUGCGUGAACAAGGUUGCUUGGUUAAUACCUGGGCAAAUUGAUGGUAACGCAAGAGGAAGAGACGGCUAACUCUGUGCCAGCAGCCGCGGUAAUACAGAGGUCUCAAGCGUUGUUCGGAAUCACUGGGCGUAAAGGGUGCGUAGGUGGCGUGGUAAGUCAGAUGUGAAAGCACGGGGCUCAACCUCGGAACUGCAUCCGAUACGGCCAGGCUAGAGUACUGGAGAGGUGACUAGAAUUCUCGGUGUAGCAGUGAAAUGCGUAGAUAUCGAGAGGAAUACCAAAGGCGUAGGCAGGUCACUGGACAGUUACUGACACUGAGGCACGAAGGCCAGGGGAGCGAACGGGAUUAGAAACCCCAGUAGUCC